UUCGGAAUUUCUAAAUAUCUUCUAGCAGUUUUUUUUGUUUCUGUUAUCUUCCACUUUUAUAUGGUGGAGAUGUUUGUUAAGAUUCCUGCUCACUCGUAACAUUUCCGGAUUUCCCCUUUGCUUUCUGUGUUGUGGGCCGUUGUCUGUCUGCCUCAUUUCAAUUUGGGACUGUGACUGUCGUGGUUCUCGGUGCUGUUGACGGUGGGCGUGGCCUUGCCGGCGGCGGUGACGGCUUUGUCCGCGGUGGUGGCGGCCGCCUGUUGCAGCUGCGCGGUCCUCCCUGCUCCGCACCCCUCGACGCCCUGCUCUCGCACUCUCCCUCCCGGGCGCGUAGUCUGUCGCUGUCGUGCCACGGUCACCCUCUUCGCCGCCCCUCGUCCGCCCACAGGUAAAGCAGGUUAGUAGCACAUAAAUCUUGUGGUAUGUGCAUAUCCAUUUCAUGAUCUAGAGAAGCAAUUUCAACUUAUCUCAUACAUGUUUAGUGAUUCAAGUACAAUUUUCAGUUCAGUUUAGCAUGUGUCUUGGGUCUUAUGUGCUAGAUCUGUUUUAAGCUAAGCGUGGGAGUUUGAGUUCAGGUCUGGAUUCCUAUCGCUACUGGUCUCUCUUUCUCCCUCUUUACAGACCUUCUCAGAUAAGGAGAUGAGCUAUUCGGUGACCCACUAUUUAUCCUGUCACCCAUAACUUAUUAUGUGGAUUGUCAAGGAUUGUCAAA
Sorghum bicolor (sorghum) is the source of this 712-nucleotide long non-coding RNA. RefSeq lists it as uncharacterized. Lineage: Eukaryota; Viridiplantae; Streptophyta; Magnoliopsida; Poales; Poaceae. The transcript has 2 exons. The record is from RefSeq and is a predicted model, not a curated record.